RNAcentral lists this ribosomal RNA (484 nucleotides) under uncultured bacterium. Its description in RNAcentral is "partial 16S ribosomal RNA". It matches the Rfam family "Bacterial small subunit ribosomal RNA", at positions 30 to 507 of the family's 1533-position model. The record is from RNAcentral.
AUUGAACGCUGGCGGCAGGCCUAACACAUGCAAGUCGAGCGGCUGAAGGGAGCUUGCUCCUGGAUUCAGCGGCGGACGGGUGAGUAAUGCCUAGGAAUCUGCCUGGUAGUGGGGGAUAACGUCCGGAAACGGGCGCUAAUACCGCAUACGUCCUGAGGGAGAAAGUGGGGGAUCUUCGGACCUCACGCUAUCAGAUGAGCCUAGGUCGGAUUAGCUAGUUGGUGGGGUAAAGGCCUACCAAGGCGACGAUCCGUAACUGGUCUGAGAGGAUGAUCAGUCACACUGGAACUGAGACACGGUCCAGACUCCUACGGGAGGCGGCAGUGGGGAAUAUUGGACAAUGGGCGAAAGCCUGAUCCAGCCAUGCCGCGUGUGUGAAGAAGGUCUUCGGAUUGUAAAGCACUUUAAGUUGGGAGGAAGGGCAGUAAGUUAAUACCUUGCUGGUUUGACGUUACCAACAGAAUAAGCACCGGCUAACUUCGUG